RNAcentral lists this transfer RNA (75 nucleotides) under Cordylochernes scorpioides. RNAcentral describes it as "tRNA-Thr". The record is from RNAcentral. Lineage: Eukaryota; Metazoa; Arthropoda; Arachnida; Pseudoscorpiones; Chernetidae.
UGUCCGGGGAUGGGAAUCGAACCCACAGUGUUCCGCUUACCGGGCAGAUGCCAUGUCCACUAAGCUACCCUGGAC